This 484-nucleotide ribosomal RNA is filed under the name uncultured bacterium. RNAcentral's name for it is "bacterial SSU rRNA". It matches the Rfam family "Bacterial small subunit ribosomal RNA", at positions 8 to 494 of the family's 1533-position model. The record is from RNAcentral.
AGAGUUUGUCCUGGCUCAGGACGAACGCUGGCGGCGUGCUUAACACAUGCAAGUCGAACGGUAAGGCCCUUUCGGGGGUACACGAGUGGCGAACGGGUGAGUAACACGUGGGUGAUCUGCCCUGCACUUUGGGAUAAGCCUGGGAAACUGGGUCUAAUACCGAAUAUGACCAUGGGAUGCAUGUCUUGUGGUGGAAAGCUUUUGCGGUGUGGGAUGGGCCCGCGGCCUAUCAGCUUGUUGGUGGGGUGAUGGCCUACCAAGGCGACGACGGGUAGCCGGCCUGAGGGGGUGUCCGGCCACACUGGGACUGAGAUACGGCCCAGACUCCUACGGGAGGCAGCAGUGGGGAAUAUUGCACAAUGGGCGCAAGCCUGAUGCAGCGACGCCGCGUGGGGGAUGACGGCCUUCGGGUUGUAAACCUCUUUCACCAUCGGCGAAGCCGGGAGCUUUUGUUUCUGGUGACGGUAGGUGGAGAAGAAGCACC